CUGGCUCAGAACGAACGCUGGCGGCGCGUCUUAAGCAUGCAAGUCGAACGGCAAGAGGUAGCAAUACCUCCUAGAGUGGCGGACUGGUAGAGUAACAACGUGGGUGACAUACCCUUCAGAUGGGGAUAGCUAUUAGAAAUAGUAGAUAAUACCGAAUACGAGCACAGGGGUUAGAGAUCUGUGAGGAAAGGAGCUAAGGCUCCGCUGAAGGAAUGGCCUGCGGCCCAUUAGCUAGUUGGUGAGGUAAGAGCCCACCAAGGCGAUGAUGGGUAUCCGGCCUUAGAGGGUGAACGGACACAUUGGGACUGAGAUACGGCCCAGACUCCUACGGGAGGCAGCAGCUAAGAAUAUUCCGCAAUGGACGAAAGUCUGACGGAGCGACGCCGCGUGGAUGAAGAAGGCCGGAAGGUUGUAAAAAUCCUUUUGAAACUGAAGAAUAAGCGUUGUAGGGAAUGACAGCGUGGUGACUGUAGGUUUUGAAUAAGCAACGGCUAAUUACGUGCCAGCCGCAGC
This 513-nucleotide ribosomal RNA is filed under the name uncultured bacterium. Its description in RNAcentral is "bacterial SSU rRNA". It matches the Rfam family "Bacterial small subunit ribosomal RNA", at positions 19 to 518 of the family's 1533-position model. The record is from RNAcentral.